Brassica napus (rape) is the source of this 2930-nucleotide long non-coding RNA. RefSeq lists it as uncharacterized. The transcript has 2 exons. The record is from RefSeq and is a predicted model, not a curated record. Lineage: Eukaryota; Viridiplantae; Streptophyta; Magnoliopsida; Brassicales; Brassicaceae.
UCUUAAUUUGUGUGAAAUAGCUAAAAAGUCUAUCUUCGUGGAACGGAAGGAGUAUAUUAUAUUAACUAUUAGGUUAAGAUCUACGCCUUGCGCGAGAUGAACAUUAUAUAUAAAAAUAAUCUAAGGAGGGGUUAUUGGAAUCAAAAUUCAGAAGGAGUUAAGUGAUUUUAAAAGUUGACAGAUUCUUAGAAGUUGAGUAGAGUUAACAAAUAUUCUCCAAAGUUCUAUCAAAUACUUUGUAUUGACUUUUGUAGAUUUUAUUGAUUUUUAAGGAUUUGCAUAAUAUAUUAUUUUCAAAAUAUUUCUUCUUAUAAGGCAAUGUAUAAUAAUCUCUUCGGAACAUUUCCAAAAACAAAAUAUGGAGGUAAACCAUAUAUAUAAACAUCACGUAAUUGACACAAUGAUACCCAUAUCUUCUUCUCUUCUCCUUCUCCUUUUCUCCUUCUCCUUCUCUAGUCCAACUACAUACAAGUAUUACUUCUUCUGACCAUUAGUUAGUUCUUGAAUAAGAUUACAAUGGAAGAUAAGGAAAAAGGUAAAUAUAAUUCCUGGACUCAGGAUGAAACAAAAGUAUUGAUUGAAUUACUUGUGGAGGGAAUUAAACGUGGAUGGCGUGAUUUUGAAACACCAUUCUUGUUAUCAAUGUGAGUUUGGUUUCUUCAUCAUUAUUGAAUCAAAAGGUUGUUUUAUCAAAUAAGAAACUAUAAAAAUAUAAUGAAUUACAGAUCAUGUGUGUUUAGUUGAUUCACCAUUAUUGAGUUUGGUUUGAUGUGUUCACGUGAGUUUAGUUGCAAUAUGUGCAUGUUUUUCUUAUUACACAGAUUUCAAAAAUCUUAUGUGAAUAGAUGAUAUUUUCAAAGUCUAGAUUUAUGAAUAAAAGCAUAAGAAAUUCACCUCACAAUAACAAUAGAAUUCAAUAGAAUGAUAAAAUCCAUAAUUACUAAACUUUAUGAAUAACAAAGGAUUUGAAUGGAAUUUAAAAAUCUUUAAACCAAUAACAAUGGAUUUUAAUAAGACUUUUUAAAUCUGUAAACCAAUAACAAUGGAUUCUCAAAAUUUUAUAAUUCCUUUAGAAUUCUUAAACCAAUAAUCCCCCACUAAACUAUUAAACGGAGUACAAAUAAGAAUUGACCCCAUUUUUUUUCAAUAGAAUGCCACUGCCUUAGAUACCGUCGUUUAGGGCGGAGAUUGAAGAUUAUUCACUUAGCGGAGAUUGAGGAUUAUUCACUUACCAAACUUAACUUCUACUGGUCAAAUAAUUUUAUCAUUAAAGUUCCCUUUGUUUUAUUGUUUUAGGAAAACAGUGAAGAUCUUAUUCGAAUCCUCCAUCUCCGCUAUCUUGCUUUUGCUCUAGGUCAUACUUUCAUAGCGUGUUUGCUUAUCGGAGAACCUGCAGAGAGAAGCUUGGUAAGAACUGAAAUCAGAUUUCAUCAGGACUUCUACAGUUUUCUUCAGUCCAUGAGCAAUUAUGGAACGCGAGUUUCUCGGGAGUGAAGGAUGAUCCAGACAAGAGCGAAUUGAUCUGAUAGCCAUGUGGUUUUCUUUCUUAAAAUCCAAGGAUCGGUUCCCUUUGGGCGAACUCAGGUUUAACUUUUUGUUUAAUCGCGUCGAUCUCGCAACAUGUUCUAUAUACGAUGUAUCUAUGUUUUGCAUAACUCCACUUCUGACAUUAUAUACGGUGUCCUUGAAUGUGAAUCAAUCAAUUCUUUUCGGAAGUAAAAUUGAAAGGUUGCAGUUAUUUUGUUUGGGUUUGGGUUUCUGGAAAGUUGAUUCUUUAAUGGAUUUCUGCCAUAGAAAACUAUUUAGCUUCAUCUUACCAAGUUAUAGUUAGGGGUUAACUUUAUAGAAAUUGUGCAGGUCAAGUGUCCUAUCUUUUCCAUUGGAGAAUGACUAUGUCUUUGUUGAUUUUAGCACCUGAUAAAGCCUAAGUGGUUUCUUUGUAGGCAGACCUGAGAAAAAGUCAGGUAGUGAACGAGGCCUGUUAGGUUAGUGGCAAGUGUCUUUACAUCUCAAUAAACUUUGUCUUGGCAUUAUUGUUUGCUUUUUUGUUAAGCUUUGAUCUUUGAGCAAUCAUAUAAUCUGCUGAAAUUUUCUGAUAUGCAUCUUGACUUGGUUUACUAAACGCCUGCAGCACCUAAGACGACCUUAUGUUCUCUAGAGUGCCAGAAAAUAUAAGGGAAAAAUUUACCUCUUAUAUGUAACAAGGUAGUUAUUAAGCCCCACAAAAUUGUGAGGAAGCUUGCAAGAGUGCAACACCUAUAUUUACAGCUGGCGGGGAAGUUUAGGAGGGGAGAUGACAAGGUGAGAUAAUAAUAUUCAAUAAUUUACAUCACACAAUCAUCUAGAUUGCUUGAAGUUAAGUGAUGUGAGUGUUUUUGUCCAGACUCUUUUUUCUUCUAAUUUGGUUCUUUGUCUUAUGGUCUACUUACAAUUUGACUCGCACACUGCUUUACAAUUUGUGAGCUUCCAGACUAAUCAUGAAGCUAGACUCAGUUUAUUUUCUUAACAUUAAUUGGAAAAAAUUGACAUUGUUGUCAUUGCAGUCUAAAAUCAUUAUGCGCAUGCCCACCUCUAAUCAAAUGUAAAUGAAUUGUGAAGUUCUCUUUGACAAGUGCUAGGAAAUGCCAGAGGUGCAGUAGCAGUGGUGGUUAAUAUUCAAGAAUCAUGUCUCGGUGACUGGAAUGUUAGAUUACUUUCUCACCGUCUGCGGAGUUAUCCGCUACAGAGAAGCCAAGAAACAAAGCACGUCAAUGAUAAAUAAAAAUUUACAUUGUUUUAUUUGUUAGCUCCUCAGGUAAACGCAAAGCAAUUUUUUUUGCUGUGAACAAAAACCCUUACACAGAAAAAGAUUGUAAAGCAACACCGAAGGAUUAGAGAACCAAACGCGAUCAGUUACAUUACUUCUCAAAUAAGUGUUUAUUCCUUCUAUU